GUGCUCACUUCGGUAACAUAUAUACUAGAGUUGGAACAGUACCGAAAAGAUCGGCCUGGGCCUUUGGCGAGGGUGACACACAAAUUCAAGAAAUGUUCCCUUAAAUA
RNAcentral lists this small nuclear RNA (107 nucleotides) under Heterocephalus glaber (naked mole-rat). Lineage: Eukaryota; Metazoa; Chordata; Mammalia; Rodentia; Bathyergidae. The record is from RNAcentral.